This 314-nucleotide ribosomal RNA is filed under the name Lingulaulax polyedra. RNAcentral's name for it is "Lingulodinium polyedra partial Bacterial large subunit ribosomal RNA". It matches the Rfam family "Bacterial large subunit ribosomal RNA", at positions 1 to 270 of the family's 2925-position model. Lineage: Eukaryota; Dinophyceae; Gonyaulacales; Lingulodiniaceae. The record is from RNAcentral.
AGCGUCAAAAGGGCAUCCGGGGGAUGUCUUGGCGGUAAGAGGCGAUGAAGGACGUGGCACUCUGCGAUAAGCACGGGGGAGGCGAGAGCACCCAUUGAUCCCGUGAUUUCCGAAUGGGGAAACCCAUCUCCGAGAUGUGUGACUAUUAUCCAAUUUCGGUUGGAUGCUGGUCAUACAUUUCAAUAGAGAGAUAUAAUACACUGAAUACAUAGGUGUUAUUAAGCGAACCCGGGGAAUUGAAACAUCUAAGUACCCGGAGGAAAGGACAUCAAUUGAGACUCCCUUAGUAGCGGCGAGCGAACGGGGACCAGGCC